GUGGGGAAUCUUGCGCAAUGGGCGAAAGCCUGACGCAGCCAUGCCGCGUGUGUGAAGAAGGUCUUCGGAUUGUAAAGCACUUUAAGUUGGGAGGAAGGGCAUUAACCUAAUACGUUAGUGUUUUGACGUUACCGACAGAAUAAGCACCGGCUAACUUCGUGCCAGCAGCCGCGGUAAUACGAAGGGUGCAAGCGUUAAUCGGAAUUACUGGGCGUAAAGCGCGCGUAGGUGGUUCGUUAAGUUGGAUGUGAAAGCCCCGGGCUCAACCUGGGAACUGCAUCCAAAACUGGCGAGCUAGAGUACGGUAGAGGGUGGUGGAAUUUCCUGUGUAGCGGUGAAAUGCGUAGAUAUAGGAAGGAACACCAGUGGCGAAGGCGACCACCUGGACUGAUACUGACACUGAGGUGCGAAAGCGUGGGGAGCAAACAGGAUUAGAAACCCUGGUAGUCC
Molecule: ribosomal RNA, 450 nt
Filed under: uncultured bacterium
Lineage: Bacteria
Description: partial 16S ribosomal RNA
Rfam family: Bacterial small subunit ribosomal RNA
Source: RNAcentral